AUUAGCUGGUAGGAAUCUUUUGUACCUUUAGAGGAACAAAGGAGCAAACAAAGCUGCCUUAUCUUCACUGAAGUAAGAGUUGGAAAAGACCUGCCAGAUCAACAAAUUAAUCACCCGACAGUGACCUUCAGCUUCUCAUUUUUGUUGAUCACCAGAAGAACUUGAUUGCACUUGAUUGCAAAGCAUAACAUGGUCAAAGACUGGACCGGGUCUCCCAGACUUGUGGAUCCUCCACCUUUGAAAACAUUCAAGCCUCAGCUAGACAUAGCCAUCGGGCAACCUGAGC
Molecule: long non-coding RNA, 286 nt
Organism: Chroicocephalus ridibundus (black-headed gull)
Lineage: Eukaryota; Metazoa; Chordata; Aves; Charadriiformes; Laridae
Exons: 3
Source: RefSeq, a predicted model, not a curated record